GAUGAUGGUGAUGAUGAUGAUGAUGAUGAUAAUGAUGAUGGUGGUGGUGAUGAUGAUAAUGAUGGUAAUGAUAAUGAUGGUGACAAUGAUAAUGGUGAUGAUGAUGAUGGUGAUGAUAAUGAUGAUGAUGAUGAGGAGGAUGAUGAUGGUGGUGAUGGUAAUGGUAAUGAGUGAUGGGGAUGGUGAUAGUGAUGGUGAUGAUAGUGGUGAUGGUGAUAAUAAUUGUGAUGAUAUGAUGGUGGUGCUGGUGGUGGUGAUACAGAUGGUGGUAAUGGUGAUAGUGGUGAUGGUAAUGG
Molecule: long non-coding RNA, 296 nt
Filed under: Homo sapiens (human)
Lineage: Eukaryota; Metazoa; Chordata; Mammalia; Primates; Hominidae
Description: HSALNT0291109
Source: RNAcentral